CUCCCCGAAAGCUAUUUAGGUAGCGCCUCGUGAAUUCAUCUCCGGGGGUAGAGCACUGUUUCGGCUAGGGGGCCAUCCCGGCUUACCAACCCGAUGCAAACUGCGAAUACCGGAGAAUGUUAUCACGGGAGACACACGGCGGGUGCUAACGUCCGUCGUGAAGAGGGAAACAACCCAGACCGCCAGCUAAGGUCCCAAAGUCAUGGUUAAGUGGGAAACGAUGUGGGAAGGCCCAGACAGCCAGGAUGUUGGCUUAGAAGCAGCCAUCAUUUAAAGAAAGCGUAAUAGCUCACUGGUCGAGUCGGCCUGCGCGGAAGAUGUAACGGGGCUAAACCAUGCACCGAAGCUGCGGCAGCGACGCUUAUGCGUUGUUGGGUAGGGGAGCGUUCUGUAAGCCUGCGAAGGUG
RNAcentral lists this ribosomal RNA (407 nucleotides) under Salmonella enterica subsp. enterica serovar Enteritidis. RNAcentral describes it as "partial 23S ribosomal RNA". It matches the Rfam family "Bacterial large subunit ribosomal RNA", at positions 855 to 1258 of the family's 2925-position model. The record is from RNAcentral. Lineage: Bacteria; Pseudomonadati; Pseudomonadota; Gammaproteobacteria; Enterobacterales; Enterobacteriaceae.